This 86-nucleotide transfer RNA is filed under the name Clostridiales bacterium. RNAcentral's name for it is "tRNA-Leu". It matches the Rfam family "tRNA". From Rfam's summary of the family: Transfer RNA (tRNA) molecules are approximately 80 nucleotides in length. Their secondary structure includes four short double-helical elements and three loops (D, anti-codon, and T loops). Further hydrogen bonds mediate the characteristic L-shaped molecular structure. tRNAs have two regions of fundamental functional importance: the anti-codon, which is responsible for specific mRNA codon recognition, and the 3' end, to which the tRNAs corresponding amino acid is attached (by aminoacyl-tRNA synthetases). tRNAs cope with the degeneracy of the genetic code in two manners: having more than one tRNA (with a specific anti-codon) for a particular amino acid; and 'wobble' base-pairing, i.e. permitting non-standard base-pairing at the 3rd anti-codon position. Lineage: Bacteria; Bacillati; Bacillota; Clostridia; Eubacteriales. RNAcentral also lists the same sequence under 1 other name. The record is from RNAcentral.
GCCGGUAUGAUGGAAUGGCAGACGUGCUGGACUCAAAAUCCAGUGGUGGCGACACCGUGUCGGUUCGACCCCGACUACCGGCACCA